CUGUGUCUGUAUUUCAGGAGGAGGCAGUGAAUUUGUCUAACGUGCCCGGGGAGUACCAGGACCUGACAGAAGUGUUCAGUAAGUCUCGUGCUGCUUCUCUUCCUCCACAUCGUCCCUAUGACUGUGCCAUAGACUUAGUGCCAGGGUACAUCGUCUCGUCUGAGGGAAUGCGUAUGGAUCCUGACAAGGUUAAGGCUGUGAUAGAUUGGCCAAGUCCAGAUUCCCAACGACGUUCAGGUGGUCUGAUACAGCGGAAGCUGUAUUUGCCAAACUUAAGAGCCGCUUCG
Long non-coding RNA from Carassius carassius (crucian carp), 287 nucleotides. RefSeq lists it as uncharacterized. The transcript has 3 exons. NCBI's taxonomy places the organism in Eukaryota, Metazoa, Chordata, Actinopteri, Cypriniformes, Cyprinidae. The record is from RefSeq and is a predicted model, not a curated record.